RNAcentral lists this ribosomal RNA (420 nucleotides) under uncultured bacterium. Its description in RNAcentral is "partial 16S ribosomal RNA". It matches the Rfam family "Bacterial small subunit ribosomal RNA", at positions 361 to 773 of the family's 1533-position model. The record is from RNAcentral.
AUAUUGGACAAUGGGGGAAACCCUUAUCCAGCCAUGCCGCGUGUGUGAAGAAGGUCUUCGGUUUGUAAAGCACUUUAAGUUGGGAGGAAGGGCGUCAAGCUAAUACCUUUAUGUUUUGACGUUACCAACAGAAUAAGCACCGGCUAACUUUGUGCCAGCAGCCGCGGUAAUACAGAGGGUGCAAGCGUUAAUCGGAAUUACUGGGCGUAAAGCGCGCGUAGGUGGUUCAGUAAGAUGGGUGUGAAAUCCCCGGGCUCAACCUGGGAACUGCUUUCAAAACGGGCAAGCUAGAGUAUGGCAGAGGGUGGUGGAAUUUCCUGUGUAGCGGUGAAAUGCGUAGAUAUAGGAAGGAACACCAGUGGCGAAGGCGACUACCUGGACUGAUACUGACACUGAGGUGCGAAAGCGUGGGGAGCAAAC